GGAGUGAAACGAUAUCUUCGGUAAUACUCUCUCUCUCUCUCUAACAAACAUGUCCUUUUUAUUCUGGUAGCCUAAUCCAGGUCAGUUUCUAAUCAGGCCUAUAUAAAUGAAUGCUAAUUGACCUGGAUGGGAUGCUCAGCAGUGACCCCUCACAAACUCUGUCAUAACACCAGCUGCUGCAAGUUUUUUUCUUCUUCUUCCAAUCCAGCAAAUGAACACACGGUAUGAUAAUAACCGUAACGUGGAAUACCGCGGUAUACCGUCACACCGUACAGCAUCAGGGACUGGAGCAGCAGCUCCUGUGAGCUCCCGUUUAUUCCCGCAGCACCGCAGGAACAGCCCUGUCCUGCUUCUGUAACGCGUCAUCUUAGAACUGAGGAGCCGUAGGCUAUCGGGCCUAAUCUAGAACUCUGGCUGGUUUUCUCCACAGACUUGCAAAGUCUCUGCAUUACGAGGAACAAUUACACGUUUAAAUGGGCCUCUACUGCUGGCUCAGCGGAGACCCGCUGGAGCAUGGCGAGUUCGGAGGCUCGUUCCGUGGCCCCCGUGGGGUUGGCGCUUCAGCUUGAUUACGGCGAGUGAAAGACCAACGCUGUGAUAGAGAGUACAGUCUCAGCUGAGAGAGUCGCACGCCUCCUCCGGUCCACAGUCCACCUCGUGGUUCUCCUGUCUGCAGAGUCAACCUACGAAUCCUGAACCGAUAAUUGCAUACUGUAAAUAUACAGGGCCGAUCCUCCCGCCUCUUUAUCCUCCUUCCAUUCCCACAAUCCUGCCCUCCUCUGGGCUCCCUGCGGAUCUCUCUCUCUCCUCUCUUUCAAGGCUCAGGGGUCGUCCGGAGAGUCAGAAUCCCUGCCCGCCUGGAACAAACAAACCGAAAGAGACAAAGGCAGAGAAAGAGAGGAAGGGACGUAGCCGGAUGAUCACCUCUCUACUUGUCUCUGGAUCGAGUGUGGACGCUCUGUUUGUCAAAGCCUCUGGUGAGGAACAGUGUUGUAAGGUGGGGACACUUCACAGGACAGCAUGAGGGUGUGUAGUAUUGAGGGGAGGGAGGAAAAAAUAAUGCUAUGUUCAUAAAUGUCUUUUCAUGAGUGGAUCAUCACCUGAGACUAAACAUGGGUGUGUGUUGGUUCGCUUACAACGAGCCCUGCAUAUCUACAUACGGUGCAGGACCUCUUCACGGUGUCUAUAAUAAAUCACCUCUGGCCAGAUCCUCCUCAAAUUGAACAACAUCAAUAAACCUUUCACCGCUUUCAAUUUAUAUACGUUUAUUUACACUUUUUUCCCCUUCAUUCUCUUUAUUAUGGAAUUUUUCUUAAAUGUAAUAUGUCAGGCUAUGCAAUUUGAUUGUAUUAUAUAUAUUGUGCAUUUUUUCACACUUCAUAUUCAUAUUAUAUGUUUACUCUGUAAACUUUCUUGCUGCUACAACAAAGUUUCCCCCUGAAUAAAGUAUACAUCUAUCUAUGUGACACCGUUAGCGUUGUUAGCACCGGUAGCUGUGAGCCGUCGCCAUGUUGAGAGCUAUGUGGAGACAACAGGUAUACUGUGAAUCUCUAAUUCAGCACUAGGCAGAUUUAGCUAGCUUGUGCGGCGCUGCAUUAGCUGACAGCUACCGCAGUUGCUUCAUAUUGCCCAUAAUAGCAGGAUUAGUCUUCUUAUCCAACUGAAGAAAGCUCACAAGUGUGUGUUGCCCAAAAUGUCAAACAUUCCCUUUAUGACUUGGUUCGAGGUUUAAGCUCACUUAGAUUCUUGUUCAUGCGUUAAUUGCUCGGAACGCUUCCAAUAGGAAUAUGAUGUGUGUGUGUGUGUGUUUGUUUGAUAAAUCUCAUUACAUUUAUAUUACAUUUAUAUGGCUGACAUUUGUCUUAGUAGUAUUCACAUUUAUGAGGAUGUAAUUCAUUAUUUCACUGCAGUUUGUUUGUUUGUAUGUGUGUGUGUGUGUGUGUGUGUGCGUGUGUGUGUAUGUGUGUGUAAAUACAAUGUGAUAAACACGUACAUUUGAACAUUUAAUGAUUUUUUUGGUACUUUUUUAAUGAACAUUGUGUGUGUGUGUGUGUGUGUUUGUACUAAAGUGCGUGGAUGCACUAAAAUGUUUGCGUGUGUGCCACAUUGAAAAUAAGAAGUGUGCAUCUCCGUUCUUAAACAACACCCAGGAGAUUGGAGUCCAACAUCUGGCGCCAAUGUUCACUCCAGUGCUGAAGAGAGAGAGUGUAUAUGUCUGUGUGUGUGUGUGUGUUUGUUUGUGUGUGUUUCUGUAUGAGCGAGCAUGUGUCUGGGAACAUGCCAGUUUUAGAUUUGUCCCAUGCAUUGGCUCAGUCCGCUGCACAACAGGAAGUUAAGAUGUUGAUGUUGGGAGUCUCUGGGAACGAAGGACGACGUUUGCGUCGACGUCACGUGAAAUUGUUCCUCUGAGUUUAAGUAAACAAGUUACGCAAGUUGAAUCAUUUGUGACCCAUCCAAACCUAGUGGUGCCGGAGCAGCAGCGGAAAUAUAGAAAGAAUCUGUCAUGCAGAUAUUUUCUUUUUUAUAAACUGCAGGAUUUCAGCAGGUUCCAGCAGUCAAAAGACACUCAAACGACGACAUGAUGGGAGACUAUCCCUCAACAGAGGAAAGGUAGAGGCUUGGGGUUUCUCAGCAGACAGUUCUGAGAGUAUAAUGUUCCUUUUGCAUUUGACGGGAGAGCACAGCACUGUUUAGUUGGUUUGCCAAGUUAUCCGUCAGGGAGGAAACCUCCCACUGACCAAAAUGGAGAAAUGAAGAGCUAAACUGGAGAUAUGGGAGGAAUUUGUUUUGAUGGGAGUGAGAACAGUGACCACCAAGCCACGAGUGGAACACAGGGAUUUGAACUAAAGUAACCUCAACGGACAGAGGGGAAAGGACAGGGGAAGGAAAGGAAAGGAAAUUUAAAGAAAGGAAAGGAAAGGAGGAGUCUUCCCAGGAUGAGAGCAUGGUUUGAAUUCUUUCAACGGGGACAGGAAGUAUUGUGCGGUGGGGCUUGAAGUGUGUGUGUGUGUGUGUGUGUGUGUGUGUGUGUGUGUGUGUGUGUGUGUGUGUACCACAUGGGAAAUGCAGACUUGGUAAUCCCGAACUCGUUGCGUGACACAGUGGAGCGAUGAACGCUGUCACACGGACACAACAAACGCUAAUUCACACUGACACACGACUGACCACAUGUGCUUCAGCGCAGUGGCGGUGCGUCCAUAGGGGGCGCUAGGGCGCCGCCCCUCUUAAAUUUUUUAGAUGAAAAAAAAAUACAUCCUGUCAAAAAACAUUAUAUGCCAAAUCAUUUAAAUAGUAAAUAUACCGUGUUGACGCGCUAAAUGUGUGUGGGAGACCGUCAGCCUGUCAACAACCACUUAAGUUAAUGUGAAAAAAUAUAAUAUAUCGCCACUCAUUAUCACGGAGAGAAGCCCCGCCCCAUUUUCGGGACACCGGCCAAACGUGUGUGUGCGGGAGCGAGCAAACAUUUCAGUCGUUUCGGCAAGGACGGCUUCUCAUUGGCGGAUGAAACGUGAAUCUUGGGGCACAAAAAUGUGCGCUCAUUGGCCAAUGACAUCGUUUCUUAUUUCACGUGAUUGGACUAUUCGGCAGAUCAGAGACCGGUAUUGGUCCCUCAGCCAGAGAGCUCCACGGAGCUACGGGAGCAGGUAGCUAACGGAGCUGGUUAGCUGGAGGCUCUGAGUAAUGCUGUUUAGUUUCCCCUGUCUGUUGUUCCAAAGGGACUGAAACUCUCUGGACUACAACGGGGUGAGGGAUCUAAAGAGCUGCAGACAAGUGUAAAGCACGAAUCUUGCCGCAGUUAUCUAGCUAAGAGCAUGAAGCUAACUCACUAACAGCCUGAAGCUAACCCUGUUUGCAGAGCAGAGCAGCAGAAGGAGACCGGACUGGCAUCGAAACACAACGAAGAAGUUCUGAAAAACAGACACAUUCCCUCAAGAAUAAUGGUUAACAGGCUGGUUACAGACAUGAUUGACUUUAACCAGAGAGUUAUGGAGAAGUUUGCCAACUUUAAAGAGAGGAGGCUACUUGUCUUUACAGUAGUGGGUCUCCUCUGUCACUCAAUGUAACAUGUGAUCUCUUUCUGACUCUAUUCUGCUCUGAACCUCUUUCAUGUGAGGGUGAAACUCUUUUAUUUUGCAAACCUCUGAAACCCAACCCAAUGUUUCUUAAAGCUGCUCUGAACCUCUCAUGCCCAAAGUUACAGUGUGUUGAUAGUUGUUAUUGGACCGUGUUGAGCACGCUGUGUUCUUGAAAUAAAGCUUUGUUUUUUACAAUAUUCUA
Long non-coding RNA from Pseudoliparis swirei, 4278 nucleotides. RefSeq lists it as uncharacterized. The record is from RefSeq and is a predicted model, not a curated record. The transcript has 5 exons. NCBI's taxonomy places the organism in Eukaryota, Metazoa, Chordata, Actinopteri, Perciformes, Liparidae.